RNAcentral lists this transfer RNA (71 nucleotides) under Curtobacterium sp. 24E2. RNAcentral describes it as "tRNA-Thr". It matches the Rfam family "tRNA". Rfam says of the family: Transfer RNA (tRNA) molecules are approximately 80 nucleotides in length. Their secondary structure includes four short double-helical elements and three loops (D, anti-codon, and T loops). Further hydrogen bonds mediate the characteristic L-shaped molecular structure. tRNAs have two regions of fundamental functional importance: the anti-codon, which is responsible for specific mRNA codon recognition, and the 3' end, to which the tRNAs corresponding amino acid is attached (by aminoacyl-tRNA synthetases). tRNAs cope with the degeneracy of the genetic code in two manners: having more than one tRNA (with a specific anti-codon) for a particular amino acid; and 'wobble' base-pairing, i.e. permitting non-standard base-pairing at the 3rd anti-codon position. Lineage: Bacteria; Bacillati; Actinomycetota; Actinomycetes; Micrococcales; Microbacteriaceae. The record is from RNAcentral.
GCCCCGAUAGCUCAGUGGUAGAGCACCUCCAUGGUAAGGAGGGGUCGUCAGUUCAAUCCUGACUCGGGGCU